CUGGUCCUACGGGGGGCAGCAGUGGGGGAUAUUGCACAAUGGGGGGAACCCUGAUGCAGCGACGCCGCGUGGGUGAAGGAGUGCUUCGGCAUGUAAAGCCCUAUCGGCAGGGAAGAAGCAAGACGGUACCUGACUAAGAAGCCCCGGCUAACUACGUGCCAGCAGCCGCGGGAAUACGUAGGGGGCGAGCGUUAUCCGGAUUCACUGGGUGGAAAGGGAGCGUAGACGGCCAAGCAAGGCAGGGGGGAAAGCCCGGGGCCCAACCCCGG
Molecule: ribosomal RNA, 269 nt
Filed under: uncultured bacterium
Lineage: Bacteria
Description: partial 16S ribosomal RNA
Rfam family: Bacterial small subunit ribosomal RNA
Source: RNAcentral